AAGCAUCUAAGCGGGAAACUCGCCUCAAGAUGAGACUUCCCAGGGGGUUAACCCCUCUAAAGGUUCGUCGAAGACGACGACGUUGAUAGGCAGGGUGUGGAAGCGCAGUAAUGCGUUAAGCUAACCAGUACUAAUUGCCCGUGCGGCUUGAUCCU
RNAcentral lists this ribosomal RNA (155 nucleotides) under Betaproteobacteria bacterium. Its description in RNAcentral is "partial 23S ribosomal RNA". It matches the Rfam family "Bacterial large subunit ribosomal RNA", at positions 2775 to 2925 of the family's 2925-position model. The record is from RNAcentral. Lineage: Bacteria; Pseudomonadati; Pseudomonadota; Betaproteobacteria.